Molecule: ribosomal RNA, 789 nt
Filed under: uncultured archaeon
Lineage: Archaea
Description: bacterial SSU rRNA
Rfam family: Archaeal small subunit ribosomal RNA
Source: RNAcentral
ACUGCUCAGUAACACGUGGAUAACCUGACCUAAGGUGGAGAAUAACCCCGGGAAACUGGGGAUAAUACUCCAUAGAUUAGAGCUACUGGAAUGUUCUCUAGUCGAAAGCUCCGGCGCCUUAGGAUGGAUCUGCGGUCGAUUAGGUUGUUGUUGGGGUAACGGCCCAACAAGCCUGUAAUCGAUACGGGUUGUGGGAGCAAGAGCCCGGAGAUGGAAUCUGAGACACGAUUCCAGGCCCUACGGGGCGCAGCAGGCGCGAAAACUUUACAAUGCAGGAAACUGUGAUAAGGGAACCCCGAGUGCCCGUAUACGCGGGCUGUCCAGGUGUUUAAAACGCAUCUGAAGAAAGGGCCGGGCAAGACCGGUGCCAGCCGCCGCGGUAAUACCGGCGGCUCGAGUGGUGGCCACUAUUAUUGGGCUUAAAGCGUCCGUAGCUGGACCCUUAAGUCUCUUGGGAAAUCCGCCGGCUUAACCGGCGGGCGUCUAGGAGAUACUGGGGGUCUAGGGACCGGGAGAGGUGAGAGGUACUCCGGGGGUAGGAGUGAAAUCCUGUAAUCCCUGGGGGACCACCGAUGGCGAAGGCAUCUCACCAGAACGGCUCCGACAGUGAGGGACGAAAGCUGGGGGAGCGAACCGGAUUAGAUACCCGGGUAGUCCCAGCCGUAAACUAUGCGCGUUAGGUGUACCGGUGACCACGAGUCACUGGGGUGCCGAAGGGAAACCGUGAAACGUGCCGCCUGGGAAGUACGGUCGCAAGGCUGAAACUUAAAGGAAUUGGCGGGGGAGCAC